GUCUCUGCGUUUGUGUGUAUGUGCGCGUGUCUGUGUGUGUGUGUUACUUUUCUGCUGAUUUUGUACGAAGAACAUAAUUUGACCAAAUCACUGAGGACAAUAAAAACAUGAAUGAUGGUGAUGGUCAUGAUCAGAAUGUAGUGACUGAUAUCAGACACUAGGCGGCAGCAACUAAAACUCGAAACAGUUACCAAAGUAAAAGCCCCGUCUUAUUUUGACAGGUCCUGAUCAAUCAUCUGUAAAAGCUUCAUCAGAAAUGGUUCAGGCUGUUUUUGAAUUAUCGUUGAAGUUUUCUGUGAACGGAAACAGGAAGUUCUGAGAGUCCAACAGGAAGCUCUUAGGGACAAACAGGAAGCUCUUAGGGACAAACAAUAUGAUGAACAAAUAGGAAGUUGUGAGGAACGUCUUUGAGACGCCGCUUCAGACGGGAAAAACAAAAUGAAGGAAUUCUAAUUCAAACAAGUCGAUUCCCAUCAGUCACCUGUUCUGCUGCCAUGGUGGACAUGGACCUGGACCUGGACCUGGUGUCUGAUUACGACGUCCUCCAUUUUCUGAUGUUUCUUUAUUAAAAGCUGGCUCAUUAAACCUCUGAGCACGAGGACGUACGUGAUGGCGUCCUCCUGCCUCACUCGUCCAUCCCUCAGUGUCUCGCAGGAGGACGCCUCGUCCGGACCCUGGCGCCUCGUCCGGACCCUGGCGCCUCGUCCGGACCCUGGCGCCUCGUCCGGACCCUGGCGCCUCGUCCGGACCCUGGCGCCUCGCGUUGUAAAUAAACGUCACGUUGAGAAGAAGCCAUAUUGUUUUGCUCGCUGCGACUUCAGGCACUUUCUGUGUUUUAGGUGAAAACAGAUGACGUGGAAUUUUAUUUUAUUUUUUUUGUUUUUGUUUAUUUUUUUGUUUCCUUGACGUUGACUUUUGUGUCAACAUGUUUUAUUUGUGGCUUCGCUGCGGCCGAAAUGUUUGGCUGCUCGCAGGCCGGACGUUAGCUGUACAUACUGUCUACUUCCUGUGACGUCAUGACGUAGUGAAACUGCCCACACCUGAGGUUAGAAUGUGUCCAAGUAAUCAGAUUACAUGCCGGGGUUAUUUGAUUAUGUCAAUGUACUUUGGUAAUCCGAUUACAUCAACAUAUGUCCAGCUAAUCAGAUUACAUCAAAACUUGUCCAGAUUACAACGUGCUCAGCUAAUCAGAUUACAUCAACAUGUGUUCAGAAAUUCAGAUUACAUCAACAUGUGUUCAAGUAACCAGAUUACAUCAACAUGUGUGCAGGUAGUCAGAUUACAUCACCAUGUGUGCGGGUAAUCAGAUUACAUGGGCACAUAUUUGGGUGAUCACAUUUUCACUAACACAUGUUCAGGUAAGUGUUGAGGUAAUCAGAUUACACCAACUGGGUCCUUGUUUUUAGACUGCAAUAAUGUGUCCAGGUAAUCGGAUUGCUUUUACGAAGUUAUGGUAAUCAGAUUACGUCACAACUGUUGAGGUAAUCGGAUUACACAAAUAUGUGUCCAGGUUCUUAGAUUAUAUUAACAUGUGUUGAGGUAAUCAGAUUACGUCAGCGUGAGUUCAGGGACACACCGGUGAGGUCUCUGAUGUGAUGAGUCAUGUUUUAGAGUCACAGAGAUGUUUCAUUUCUGAAGCUUAGAAACAAAAAUAAAAACAUUCUCAAAUCAAAACAAAA
Long non-coding RNA from Solea senegalensis (Senegalese sole), 1679 nucleotides. RefSeq lists it as uncharacterized. NCBI's taxonomy places the organism in Eukaryota, Metazoa, Chordata, Actinopteri, Pleuronectiformes, Soleidae. The record is from RefSeq and is a predicted model, not a curated record. The transcript is spliced from 2 exons.